UGAGCCACAUCUGUGACCUACACCACAGCUUACAGCAACACAGGAUUCUUAACCCACUGAUCAAGGCCGGGGAUCGAACCCACUUCCUUGUGGAUACUUGUCGGGUUCAAUACCACUGAGCCGCGUUUUGUCAUUAAACGCGACUAUUCCCCAAGUUUUGUCUUUUAAACGCAACUAUUCUACAAGUAAAAUUCUGAGACAGUUGUAUCACUGCAGCCCAGGUGUGGCAUCUUAUUGAAAAGAAAACCCAGACUCUGUUUGGAAGCACAAUAUCUAACCUGUAAAAGUUGUCCAAAACACACAAUAAUGGUGGGGGAAAUGCAGGCAUUAUGUUGUCAAAUCAAUCACUAAAAUAUAAAGAAGACAGGAUGUUCUAGAUAUUAGAAAUCUGAGAAAUACAUAUUUUAAAGCACCUCUGUGAACUGUAUAAAAGGCCUUAAAUAAGCAAGGUAUUUAAAAAAAAAAAAGACUUUGGUUCUAUUUAAUAACAUAAUCUUCUGGAUUUCCAUCCAUAUUUUUAAAAAAACUCAUGUCACUUCACAUGUAUCACUGUGCACAGGAGUUUAGUCAGCAAAGCCCCCAGGCAACAUUCCAGGACAGGUAAGUUCAGCCUUUAGCUGGGUAAGGAUCCCCGGCAGGGAGAAAGUCUCACCUAAAGGCACUGCCUCCCUGGGCAAGGGGGAAGCUGCUUUGUGGCAAGUGACUCAGCCUCUGGGCGGUCUUUGCGGCUGGUGUGCAAGCUGCCACCAGGCUCAGAUUCUCCUGAAUUCUAUGUGAUUUCUGGAAGAUGCUCCCCUAUUCCAGCCCCCCACCCCCAACAUCCCUAAGAAUCAUAUACCUGCCACCUGAAAUAGAAUGAUUCUAGCCCUGCUUCUGCUUUGCUGCUUGUACCGCUUGAGUUUCUCCUCCAGACAUGAAAUGCAUCAGCCAAGAGUUUUAAGUCAUGGAAUCAAAGGAAGAGAUGGCCAGGAAAUGCACUAUGAAGCACUGUCACAGGGCCACUCACCCCUCAGGAUAACCUCCCCUAACUUGUUUCCUGCCCAACCUACAGCACCAUUUCUGGAACUCAGCUGCUGACUGAUAAUUAGGUCUAAUAGAGAGCAAGGAUUUCCUGACGGGAUGCAGACAGCACUGCAUUUGCUGGCAGCUGUGCCUCGGCUGAUUGUUGGAAACCUGGCUUUUAACCCUGUGCUGGCUCUCCAUCACACCCAACUCUGGCAACCUAGUGAGGCCAGCUCAGCCAUGCUGAAAGCAGCUCUCAGGGAAUGAAGAGGGAGGAAAUGGAGGAAGAAGAAUACAUCGCAUUCAAUAUUAAUUUGCCAGUCCAUGCAGAAAAAAAAAAAGAUCAGAGGUCUUGCCUUAGCCUGCCUUCCCUUCUGGAGAAUCAAUAGCACAGACAUUCUGAAAACACAGAAGAAAAGAAUAUAGGCUGUAAGAUCUAAAAGUAAGUUUAGUAGUCAGUUCUUCUCAGGCAAGAAAUCUAUGUUGAUUUACUACUCAGUAAAGGUUUCAUAAUUUGGCACCAAC
Non-coding RNA from Sus scrofa (pig), 1527 nucleotides. NCBI's taxonomy places the organism in Eukaryota, Metazoa, Chordata, Mammalia, Artiodactyla, Suidae. The record is from RefSeq and is a predicted model, not a curated record.